GGCAGACGGGUGAGUAACACGUGGGAACAUGCCCAAAGGUACGGAAUAUUCUCGGGAAACUGGGAGCAAUACCGUAUGUGCCCGAAAGGGGAAAGAUUUAUCGCCUUUGGAUUGGCCCGCGUUGGAUUAGCUAGUUGGUGGGGUAAAAGCCUACCAAGGCGACGAUCCAUAGCUGGUCUGAGAGGACGACCAGCCACACUGGGACUGAGACACGGCCCAGACUCCUACGGGAGGCAGCAGUGGGGAAUCUUGGACAAUGGGCGCAAGCCUGAUCCAGCCAUGCCGCGUGAGUGAUGAAGGCCCUAGGGUUGUAAAACUCUUUCGUGGGGGACGAUAAUGACGGUACCCCAAGAAGAAGCUCCGGCUAACUUCGUGCCAGCAGCCGCGGUAAUACGAAGGGGGCUAGCGUUGUUCGGAUUUACUGGGCGUAAAGCGCGUGUAGGCGGGCUGGAAAGUUGGGGGUGAAAUCCCGAGGCUCAACCUCGGAACUGCCUCCAAAACUUCCAGCCUGGACUCAAGUAGAGGCAAGUGGAAUUGC
Molecule: ribosomal RNA, 538 nt
Filed under: uncultured Alphaproteobacteria bacterium
Lineage: Bacteria; Pseudomonadati; Pseudomonadota; Alphaproteobacteria
Description: bacterial SSU rRNA
Rfam family: Bacterial small subunit ribosomal RNA
Source: RNAcentral